This 389-nucleotide ribosomal RNA is filed under the name uncultured Nitrospina sp. RNAcentral's name for it is "bacterial SSU rRNA". It matches the Rfam family "Bacterial small subunit ribosomal RNA", at positions 29 to 410 of the family's 1533-position model. Lineage: Bacteria; Pseudomonadati; Nitrospinota; Nitrospinia; Nitrospinales; Nitrospinaceae. The record is from RNAcentral.
AACGAACGCUGGCGGUGUGCUUAACACAUGCAAGUCGAACGAGAAAGUUUCCUUCGGGAAGCUAGUAAAGUGGCGCAAGGGUGAGUAACACGUGAAUAAUCUGCCCUCGAGAUCGGGAUAACCUGAGGAAACUUUGGCUAAUACCGGAUAAGACCACAUUUCAUAUGGAAUGUGGGAAAAGGAGUCUCAAUCUUCACUCGAGGAUGAGUUCGCGGACCAUUAGCUUGUUGGUGAGAUAAAAGCUCACCAAGGCAACGAUGGUUAGCCGGCCUGAGAGGGCGAUCGGCCACACUGGAACUGAGACACGGUCCAGACUCCUACGGGAGGCAGCAGUGAGGAAUAUUGGACAAUGGAGGCAACUCUGAUCCAGCCAUGCCGCGUGCAGGAUG